CCUAGGGUGGCAGCAGUGGGGAAUAUUGGACAAUGGGCGAAAGCCUGAUCCAGCCAUGCCGCGUGUGUGAAGAAGGCCUUCGGGUUGUAAAGCACUUUCAGUGGGGAAGAAAGCCUUGGGGCUAAUACCCUCGAGGAAGGACAUCACCCACAGAAGAAGCACCGGCUAACUCCGUGCCAGCAGCCGCGGUAAUACGGAGGGUGCGAGCGUUAAUCGGAAUUACUGGGCGUAAAGCGCGCGUAGGCGGUCUGAUAAGCCGGUUGUGAAAGCCCCGGGCUCAACCUGGGAACGGCAUCCGGAACUGUCAGGCUAGAGUGCAGGAGAGGAAGGUAGAAUUCCCGGUGUAGCGGUGAAAUGCGUAGAGAUCGGGAGGAAUACCAGUGGCGAAGGCGGCCUUCUGGACUGGCACUGACGCUGAGGUGCGAAAGCGUGGGUAGCAAACAGGAUUAGAUACCCGUGUAGUC
This 464-nucleotide ribosomal RNA is filed under the name Vreelandella stevensii. Its description in RNAcentral is "partial 16S ribosomal RNA". It matches the Rfam family "Bacterial small subunit ribosomal RNA", at positions 338 to 795 of the family's 1533-position model. Lineage: Bacteria; Pseudomonadati; Pseudomonadota; Gammaproteobacteria; Oceanospirillales; Halomonadaceae. The record is from RNAcentral.